GAUGAAGAACGUAGCGAAAUGCGAUAAGUAGUGUGAAUUGCAGAAUUCAGUGAAUCAUCGAAUCUUUGAACGCACAUUGCGCCCGCCAGUAUUCUGGCGGGCAUGCCUGUCUGAGCGUCAUUUCAACCCUCAUGCCCCUAGGGCGUGGUGUUGGGGAUCGGCCAAAGCCCGCGAGGGACGGCCGGCCCCUAAAUCUAGUGGCGGACCCGUCGUGGCCUCCUCUGCGAAGUAGUGAUAUUCCGCAUCGGAGAGCGAUGAGCCCCUGCCGUUAAACCCCCAACUUUCCAAGGUUGACCUCAGAUCAGGUAAGAAUACCCGCUGAACUUAAGCAUAUCAAUAAGCGGAGGA
Molecule: unclassified non-coding RNA, 348 nt
Filed under: soil metagenome
Description: partial contains 5.8S ribosomal RNA, internal transcribed spacer 2, and large subunit ribosomal RNA
Rfam family: 5.8S ribosomal RNA (bases 1-120)
Source: RNAcentral